Molecule: ribosomal RNA, 465 nt
Filed under: Vreelandella stevensii
Lineage: Bacteria; Pseudomonadati; Pseudomonadota; Gammaproteobacteria; Oceanospirillales; Halomonadaceae
Description: partial 16S ribosomal RNA
Rfam family: Bacterial small subunit ribosomal RNA
Source: RNAcentral
CCUACGGGGGGCUGCAGUGGGGAAUAUUGGACAAUGGGCGAAAGCCUGAUCCAGCCAUGCCGCGUGUGUGAAGAAGGCCUUCGGGUUGUAAAGCACUUUCAGUGGGGAAGAAAGCCUUGGGGCUAAUACCCUCGAGGAAGGACAUCACCCACAGAAGAAGCACCGGCUAACUCCGUGCCAGCAGCCGCGGUAAUACGGAGGGUGCGAGCGUUAAUCGGAAUUACUGGGCGUAAAGCGCGCGUAGGCGGUCUGAUAAGCCGGUUGUGAAAGCCCCGGGCUCAACCUGGGAACGGCAUCCGGAACUGUCAGGCUAGAGUGCAGGAGAGGAAGGUAGAAUUCCCGGUGUAGCGGUGAAAUGCGUAGAGAUCGGGAGGAAUACCAGUGGCGAAGGCGGCUUUCUGGACUGACACUGACGCUGAGGUGCGAAAGCGUGGGUAGCAAACAGGAUUAGAUACCCGAGUAGUC